Molecule: ribosomal RNA, 564 nt
Filed under: uncultured Glomeromycotina
Lineage: Eukaryota; Fungi; Glomeromycota
Description: SSU rRNA
Rfam family: Eukaryotic small subunit ribosomal RNA
Source: RNAcentral
UUGGAGGGCAAGUCUGGUGCCAGCAGCCGCGGUAAUUCCAGCUCCAAUAGCGUAUAUUAAAGUUGUUGCAGUUAAAAAGUUCGUAGUUGAAUUUCGGGAUCAGUUGGUCGGUCGUGCCUCGGUACGUACUGGUCAAAUUGAUUCCUACCUUCUGACGAACCACGAUGUCAUUAAUUUGGUGUCGCGGGAAAUCAGGACUGUUACUUUGAAAAAAUUAGAGUGUUUAAAGCAGGCUCGCGCUUGAAUACAUUAGCAUGGAAUAAUGAAAUAGGACGUUUGAUUCUAUUUUGUUGGUUUCUAGGAUCGACGUAAUGAUUAAUAGGGAUAGUUGGGGGCAUUAGUAUUCAAUUGUCAGAGGUGAAAUUCUUGGAUUUAUUGAAGACUAACUACUGCGAAAGCAUUUGCCAAGGAUGUUUUCAUUAAUCAAGAACGAAAGUUAGGGGAUCGAAGACGAUCAGAUACCGUCGUAGUCUUAACCAUAAACUAUGCCGACUAGGGAUCGGAUGAUGUUAAUUUUUUAAUGACACAUUCGGCGCCUUACGGGAAACCAAAGUGUUUGGGUUC